RNAcentral lists this ribosomal RNA (468 nucleotides) under Meyerozyma caribbica. RNAcentral's name for it is "partial large subunit ribosomal RNA". It matches the Rfam family "Eukaryotic large subunit ribosomal RNA", at positions 181 to 666 of the family's 3401-position model. Lineage: Eukaryota; Fungi; Ascomycota; Pichiomycetes; Serinales; Debaryomycetaceae. The record is from RNAcentral.
CUAUGUUUCUUGGAACAGGACGUCACAGAGGGUGAGAAUCCCGUGCGAUGAGAUGCCCAAUCCUAUGUAAGGUGCUUUCGAAGAGUCGAGUUGUUUGGGAAUGCAGCUCUAAGUGGGUGGUAAAUUCCAUCUAAAGCUAAAUAUUGGCGAGAGACCGAUAGCGAACAAGUACAGUGAUGGAAAGAUGAAAAGAACUUUGAAAAGAGAGUGAAAAAGUACGUGAAAUUGUUGAAAGGGAAGGGUUUGAGAUCAGACUCGAUAUUUUGUGAGCCUUGCCUUCGUGGCGGGGUGACCCGCAGCUUAUCGGGCCAGCAUCGGUUUGGGCGGUAGGAUAAUGGCGUAGGAAUGUGACUUUGCUUCGGUGAAGUGUUAUAGCCUGCGUUGAUGCUGCCUGCCUAGACCGAGGACUGCGAUUUUAUCAAGGAUGCUGGCAUAAUGAUCCCAAACCGCCCGUCUUGAAACACAGAC